Oncorhynchus mykiss (rainbow trout) is the source of this 722-nucleotide long non-coding RNA. RefSeq lists it as uncharacterized. Lineage: Eukaryota; Metazoa; Chordata; Actinopteri; Salmoniformes; Salmonidae. The record is from RefSeq and is a predicted model, not a curated record.
GUUGAAAGUGUGUCACAUCGGAAUUGAGAAACCCCUGACGGCAGUGUGCAAUUUCGGGCCAGGCCCAAUGUAGGCGGAGUCAAACGCGUUUAACCCGAACGCUUCCCGUCUCCUUCAACGUCACCCAAAUUGAGGCACAACGUCUACGAAAGCGAACCUUAAUUGAGCCUAGCCAACAUGGAUAAAAAUAUAGACCAUGGAAUACGCUCUGUACAUUGCAAUGGAAGCACAGUGUGAUUUCACUGAGGAGGAUGUAAAAGACGCCCUCCCAAGAAGUCACAGCAUGUCACAUCAGCAUCCAGCUCUGCAGGAUCAGACGAUACUGAAAACAAAACACGACGAACUGUGAACUGGGAAGCAGAUGUUCUUCUAAGGGACACCCUAGAGGCAGCGAACAUUUAAAGGCACUGUUUACCCUCCCUAGUGUAAUUGGGAUGGACGGGGAAGACCGCAUUACAAUCCUUAAAGAACUACGGUUGUAUGAUGGCCUGGAUGAAGAGGAAAAUAUUCUCCUCAAGGAACCAUUCAUGUUCCAGAGAGAUGAUGAGAUGUUCUAUGUGGAGGCAGUUGACAACAAGAACAUUACUGUCUUUGCCUCUUUUGAGGAGCAGGGGCCUGUUGCACAAAACUAGGAUAAGGGAUUAAGCCAGGAUAUCUUGGUGAUCCUGGCUCAAUUGAUCCGUAAUCCGGUUGCACUAAAGAUGGAUAGGGGGCAGGAGGAU